Molecule: long non-coding RNA, 697 nt
Organism: Venturia canescens
Lineage: Eukaryota; Metazoa; Arthropoda; Insecta; Hymenoptera; Ichneumonidae
Exons: 2
Source: RefSeq, a predicted model, not a curated record
GCGAGUAGCGCGCCCAUUCAAUCUUUCAUCCACAGAAUCGUCCAUUUCGAACUCAAACACUCAAACGAUCCACCAGUGAAAAGAAUCGUAAUCUGCUCGGAAAAAUUGACAUUAUAGUGGCACGUAAGUUCCCAGUAUUCGAAUGCAGCCCACUAAAGAUUCCUGAUUCAUCAACCGACUCCUGACAACUUUCACAAAAAAAAUAAAAAAUUAGGACUCGGCCUCGAGAGAACAAAAAGGACUGGAAUUAAGUACCAAGUUGGAAUUUUUCUCCUUAUUCAAACCGAAUUCGACGUGCCCAACCCAGACCCGGAGUUCCAGUUUGGGACUCACGACUUCUUGGAAGAAAUCUCAUCUAGGAUUUGGUUGGACUCUUUCACUCAAACCAGAGUCCAAAGUGAAUUAUUUUUGGCACUUUUUGAGCUUUUUGUCAAAAUUUUUGAGUUUCCGCUUUCCCUGUUUCGAUGUGCAAGCAACUAAAUUUGUGUCGCUCUCUCAAUUUUUUAUCAAGAAAUACUCGAGAUUUUUUUCUCAUCAUUUCGAAAAAUAUGUCAAUUUUGACGUUUUGCAUUCUCACCUAUUUCUUCAACGUUUUUCCGGUCUCGACACUUCUCAUCUGAACUAGUAGGGGUUCUAGCUAUACGAAAAUAGUAGACGUAGUGGUCACGCCCAAAUGCUGCCGAAACGAUGAUCAGAA